CGCAGGACUCAGUCUCCAGUCAAAAAUUGUGACCAUUGCACCAAGGCUGCCAAGAGGGAGACCAAUUAGUACAAAGUAAAUA
Molecule: long non-coding RNA, 82 nt
Filed under: Felis catus (domestic cat)
Lineage: Eukaryota; Metazoa; Chordata; Mammalia; Carnivora; Felidae
Description: lncRNA (ENSFCAG00000051305.1)
Source: RNAcentral